AGUAAAACUCAAGCUUUGUGGCUUAAUUCCAUUUUAGUACACUGUUGAAUUCUGCGUUCUGAUUGGUCAGUAGGUGUUGAUUAAUUUUCUAUAACAGCAGCUCUGACAGUACUGCAGAUGUAAACCACAGGUUUCUAUUAAUGAUCCAAUACAUUGUGGUUUCUAUAGUAACAGCUCAUUCACAGGAACUUAAAUUCACAUGAAUUUAUAUUAAAAAUCUGUGUGUUCAUCAACAUGGUGAAGUUUUCUGUAAGAAAAUUAUUUUUUAUUGUUUUCAGAUUUUUUAAAAACACUGCUUCAUCACACCACCCUGUAACUCAGUAUUUUACUGUAACACCAACACACACAGUGGUUCAUUACUUAUUCAUUUAUUUGUUCAUUAGACAAUCCAGAAGAUUAUGAUGAUGUCAUCACUGAGGAACAGGAUGUAGGAGAGACAGAAGAAUAUGAUGACGUGGAGGAGAAAUCUCAGAACGACAGGGACCAUGUGACUGAGACACGUCUCCAAAGGCCUUUUCUCAGGAAAUUACAUUUCAACUUUUAUAAACACAAAAAAUGACUUUAUUAUACUUCUAAUAAUUUCAUUCAUUCUGAACCAUGUUCAUUUUCUCACCUUGUUAUUAGUAAAUAAAUUAGGGAGAGUUAAAUCACCUCCAUUAUUACUUAACAAAUGUUUCCAGCUUUCCUUUUACAACACAUUUAGUGCUAUAAGUCAUAGUGAGCUUAAAUAUCACUGACACACCACACCUCAUUUAUCACCAGUUUAUUCCAUCAAAAUCACUUUAAUGUUCAUUACAAUCUUUUGAUGAAACAACUGAUCUUAUCGUUCAUGUUGAUCUGAAACUUGUGAAUCUGUUAUUCAGUGUUUUUAGAAAUGUGUUAAUUACAUUCCACUUGCCAGAAGAAAACUUGUUUAUUACAAUAUGUUAAAACUUGUUACGAGCCAGAAAUAUGGAACUGUCUUAAAUAGAUAAACAUUUUUCAUUCAA
Molecule: long non-coding RNA, 989 nt
Organism: Tachysurus vachellii
Lineage: Eukaryota; Metazoa; Chordata; Actinopteri; Siluriformes; Bagridae
Exons: 2
Source: RefSeq, a predicted model, not a curated record